AUUCAUACCAUUACAUGUAUAAAUAAUAAAUUCUUAAUUGUGCACCACUCAAGAAUUAUUCUGUAUGUAUAAUGCAUACUUGUUGCAUAAUUUAUGCAAUGAAUUAGUUCACAUUCCUGCAGUUAACCCGAAUUUCACCUUGAUUCCCAGUGAGGGACUGAAUAUUUCCCAUCUUAAUCAUCGAGUUCGCAAAGUCCUCGUAGAAAUCUUCGGUAUCAUCGCUGUACUCUUUGACCAGUUCAUCAGUAGAACCACCAUUGAAGAGUUCUUGAUCAGAGUGAAGAAGCCCUUUCUUUUGAACCAAAUUAGAGUAAUAAUUUAUGUCAAAUUUUGCCGCUGUUGAGUCCAAAGGAGAAAGGUUGGAGUCACCACCGUUUGUAGGGCAAAUGUAUUUAAGUUGUUGUGCAAAGUGGGGAUCGAUGUUGGAGUCAUUGUAGAUAUGGUCCUUAAAUGUAACACAACGUGCAAAUCCAAUGCUGUGGCCUCCAGAAAGAACAACAAGGUCCUUCUCAUCAAGACCAUGAUUCUUGAAGUUGGUGAUGAGUUCAGAUAGGCUGAAAAAUGGUGCUGGAAUGCUUGCAUCUGCUGCUUCACGACUUGCUGUAGUAGAGUCUCUUCUGCCAAGUCUCACCUUCCAUGAUGGUCCCCCUAACUGCAUGGAGCAUAUGCACAUAAUUAAUUCUUGUUCACAACUAGGUUCAUUCAUUUUUUAUAUAGAGAUGACAGUAUAGUGUUGUUCAGCUAGAAUAUUUAGUAAUUAUUUAUACGAAUUUUGAGGAAGAGAAAUUGUAUUUAAACAAUUUUUUAUAUAAAGGAUUUUGAAUAAUAAAGAGAAAUAAAAUAAGAAAUAAGGGAUAUAUAAUAAAAUAAUUUAUGUAAUAAAAAACACAGAUUAUAUGGUCUAAAGUGUUGUAAAAAUUCGUUAUACAGAUAAAUAUAAGUCUUUGAAAGUUAACUAAUAAAAAUCAUUUUGUAUUUCUCAAAUUUCGUAGUAAUAUGGCCAUCACAAUUACCCUACCCUACACUUGCUCUGAACGUUACAUAUUUAUGUGGGUCGGUUAAAAAUCCUCCGGUUUACUUUUAUACUAUUCGAACUGAGUCCUUGACUCCCUGGAUAAUUAAUAAAGUUUAUAUUACUUUUUAGUAACAUACAUUUAUUUGACUUUUAUGCAGUCAAAGUUCUAUAAAAAUUGCAUUGCAUCAUCUUAUGAUCUCUGGUAUAUUUGACAUCGUGAUUAAUAAAAAAUUCGCUAUGGACUAAUACAAUUCAUAACAUUAAGCAUAAUUUCUCAUAUUUAUAUAUAUAUAUAUAUAUAUAUAUAUAUAUAUAUAUAUAUAUAUAUAUAUAUAUAUAUAUAUAUAUAUAUAUAUAUAUAUAUAUAUAUAUAUAUAUAUAUAUAUAUAUAUAUAUAUAUACACGAUAAACAUUUAACGCAUAUCAUUUUGGGUUAUAAUUAGCUAUAUUCUAGUAUUACAAUUUUGAAGCUACAUUACAGUAUUAUUACUCACCGCAACAACUGAAUCACGAGCUGCAACAGCCAAUAUGUCUGCGCAAGAAACAACUGGUUUUCCACAUGCUUCGUCCACAGCUUUCUUUAUGUCAUCCACCACUUCAAAUCCUCUAGCAGAUUGCAAAUUAGCAGCUGCAUUCUUUUCGCUGUCAAUGGAGGAUGUGGAGUCUAGAAGAAUUGAACCAUCACAACCCUGAAUCAUCGUCACAAAACCAAGUCAUUAAUUAGCCUCACAUUUUCACAUCAUCUAAAAAUUAAUCCCCACAUUUUAAAUAAUGGGGUCUUUAAGGUAAUAUAUACAUUCAUUAAUCCGUAUGAAUUUAUUUUUUUAGACUAAAGAGUAUUUUGUGUCACAUACUGAGACUACUUGUUUUCGAAAAAUCUAAAGGCAUUAAAAAAUGAGUAAUUCCUUGCUAACUUGAUUUUUUUUCUCAUAUAUAAAAGUCAGGAUUUGAAUUCCAUGACCACAUUUAAUUUGUAAGGAAUCAGCUUAUCAUCAUCACUCAAAAUAACUACUUGUUAUCAUAUUAACAUGUGUGUAUACAUGUACACGUGCAUGUGUAUAUAUGUGUAUGCAUAUGCCCACAAGCGUAGAAUGUCUUACAUUAACAAAACAAUCAUGGAAGUGCAAGCGUAGCAAUGAAGCACCCAUACGACGCUCUUUCUGCACAGAAGCCUCCACAACACUUUUGAUGGUGCUCAAAGCUUUAGGGCACGAAUAAUCAUAGUAAUUAGGUGACAAUUGUGAGAAAGCUGAGGUUGCAAUAGAUGCAAACACUAAGGCAUGGAGAACAACAAAGAAAUACCCACGUGAUGCCAUUCUAUUACUAUGCAAUCAAUAACUGAUCAAUAUGCAAUAUAGUAUAUAGUACUGUAGUAGAUGACAAUAUCGUCUACUGGGAAAUGAUAAAGCUAUAUUAUGUAUUUCAAUUAUUUGGAUUGCUAUUGCCACAUUGCUGUAUUUAUAGAGACGCUGAGACGCGUGCUGGGGAAAAAAUACCAUUUUUUAUUGUUUGUCCAUAGAAAAAUAUACCAAUUAACUGCACGGUAUCAUACCUAGUGAUGUGUGGAAUGAGCCCACGAAAAAGACCAUUUCACCUCAGAAACGUUCUAUGUUAGGUAUCAUUAAAGGUAUCAAGAAAUCCUAAAAAAGAAUUAUUCAGUGAUUGAUUUAGUCCACGGAGGGUUUUAAUUAAUUGAUAUAUGUACGCCAACCACAGCGAAUAAUGAUAAAUUUAUGAUGUAAAUGGACAAUAUACAUGCAUGGGAUACAUAUCCUUUUCGACUAAAUCAAUUCCGAGUAUUAUAUGUUGUAUAUUCACAGCGUAAGCAAUUACGAAUCCUAGUUAUCAAUCAGGUUAACCUUUUUUCUUCUUCUUCUUCUGAAUUAUUAAUCAAGUCAACUAGUUGUAGUCAUUUUAUUGUAAGCAGGUAAAAGUUUCAAAAUGAUACACAUGGACAAUGAAGGUAAAUUAAAUUCUACAAGUUUUUGUCAAUAUAAUUUAAUGGUUUAAUUACUCAUUUAGUCUCUAUAGUUUUCAAACUUAUCCAAUUUAGUCCAUGUAGUUAAUAAGUGAUUUUUUUAGUUACUGUAGUUUAUUUUUUAAUUCCCAAUAGGUUCCUCCUGUUUAAAUUUUUUAACACGUUAACGGACCUUGGCAAAACUCCCUCUGCACCGCUCUGCACCGCAAAAUUCUCUCUGCAUUUUGAAUUCAUCUCCCUCUCGGCCACCAUUAUCGUCCAUUGUUGGGAAUUAAAAUUAAUUGUGAUUUGCUGUAAGCAAGCGUUGACCCAUGUCGUCCAUUGUUGAACCUAACUGAGUUUUAAUAAUUAAUUAUCUUUGUAAUUAAUUUAUUAACUUUGAUCAUGACAAAUUUAGUUUCUAAAUCUAAUCAUUCUCAUAACAAAAGGACUAUUAUUCUGAAAAAAAAUAACAAAAGCACUAUUUUGUCUUAUUCAUAAAAAUUUAAAAGAUCAAUAACAUAUGUUGCCUGUUUUAAGACGGAAUUGGAUUUUUCCUUCGAUGAUGCAUGGCUGAUGAUUUAUAAUUACUCUUCUUGCGUGACAUGCUUUUUAAACUUUCAAAAAGAAACUAACAUGUGUUUUUUUUUUUUUUUGAAAAGGUAAUAUGCCACAUUUAAUUCAUAUUGUUAAAUAAUCCAAUUUAACAAUCAUUAUUGCUGACUUAGCUAUGUUCUUAGUUUCUCAGAUUAGAGGGUCUGUUUUUAUUUAGUCCUUUAAAUAAAGUUUUGCAUUUUUUACUCCAUCAAAUUAAAAAAGACGUUUAUUUAGUCCCUUCUCUAACAUAAAAAUUUAUAUUUUUUAUUUCCUCUAAAUUUGACAAAGGAAUUAAAAGAAGCUUUUUUUUUUUUAAGUUAAGAUGCUAAAAAAAUAUAAAUUUUUAUUUAGAAAAAUAGGCUCCCUAAUUUCAGGGCCUAAAAAUAAAAUCAAACGUAUUUUAUCAUUACUAGAUCAGAAGCUAUUGUUUAUUUUUUAUUUUUAAAUUCAAUGAAAUAAUAUUAUUAAAAUCGAAACAGAUCGUACGUCCGAACCGGUUCAACCAGAAAUUAGAUACAUGGUUGAUCCGGUCAAGGUUGGAUUGGAUAUGUCUUCAUCAAACCCCCGGUGAUAUCAUUGGAGAUACCUUAUUAAAAGUACCUGAGAAACUGUACCUAUAGAAUUUAAUUAGAAAAUGAAGAAAAAGUAUUUUCAUAUUACUAGCUAGUAGUAUAUGUUAUUAUCGUCAUUUUCAUGGUCAUUGUUCUUGUUAUUGCUGCUAUUAUUAUUAUCAUUAUUGUCAUGGUUAUGUAGUUGUCUAAAACUAGACUUUCUAUAAAAUCAAAAUGACUUUAUAAAAUAAAAUAAAAACAUGACAUUGUGCUCAUCAUGCUUAUGAUAAUUUUUUCAAACAUUAGUUAGUUUUCUUAGUUUUCAUAUAGGUAAAUCUAAUAGGAUAAAUUUUUUCUUGAAUAAAUAAAAAAAGAUUCAAAAAGUGUCCAGAAAUUAAAAAUGAUAAUUAAUUUGAAAGGAAAAAUGCAUAUGUAUGGGUGCUUCAUUGCAUAAGAAAAAAUUGAGUUUGAGUUUAAACCAACUUGUUUUUGAAUCCAAGGGGUUAAAUGUAUCAACAAGUAUACAACAAAGGUUUUUAUGAAGUGAUUUUGUUAGGUCCUGUACUACGGGAAAUAUAACUGCAAAGAUAAAUGGGAUAAAAUUAUGUUCUGCCUUUAUUAUCAUUCAUACUCCUUUAUUUAUACAAAGAUUUUUGCACCAAAACUUAUAACAAACUUAUGGCUCACAGUGCCAACACAUUCAUAACAGCAUGUAUUUUCUUUUAUUAUAGUAACUAACUAAAUGGGAGGGAUAGUGAAAAUAGGCAUAACAAAGUAGAUUUUAGUGCUUGCUUAACAACCUCAAAGAGAGUCAUUGAAGCGUGUGGGUUUUCUAGUAUUCAUUCUAGGCCUGAUAUGGUCCAAUUCCUUGCUGCUCUUGUGCUCUUCCCGUUCCAAGAUAUCUGAAUUGCUAUCAUCACCCCCCCUCAACCAAACCAACCUUGUCCCCAAGGUUGUAAGACGGGGCGUAGUGUAUCCAACGACUCCCAUGUACUGUCCUCUUGUGACAAGCCAUCCCAUUGGACUAGAACAAGCUUAGUUGGUGGACAAGAUGAGGAAUCCCAUUUCCAAUCCAAAAUAUGAAGAGGCUCAAUGACUGGAUGGUUCUUAAUGAUAGUCGGAGGAAGAACGGUAGGAUAUGUGGGUGACGGUCUGUGAUGGAGUUUCGAUAGUGAGAUAUGAAACUUGGGGUCAAUCUUAGAAGUGAUACCAUUGGGAUGGCCUGUCAUGAACAAAGACGCAAAGAUAUUGCUCCAAGAUGCGAUUCAUGACCUCUGUUUGAUUGUCCAUCUGUGAGUGAUAGGCAGUGCUCAUCCGAAGCUUGGUUCCACUGAGGCGAAAAAGCUCCUCCAAAAUUUUCUAAUAAACAAUGGAUCCCGAUCUGAAACCAGGGUCUGUGGGAAGCCAUGAUGCUUACAAACUAUGUCAAGAAAUAAGAAGGCAGUCUUAUAAGCGGUAUUGUGUGGCGAUAGUGCCCCGAAAUGGGCUUCUUUUGAAAAUUGGUCCAUGACAACCAGAAUAAUGGUAAAGUCGUGAGACGGUGGUAGCCCGGUGAUGAAGUCCAAAGAAACAUCUUCCCAAAUGGCUGAAGGAAUAGGCAGGGGCGGGAGGAGACCUGCCAGCUUCUUGGUGUCAUAUUUUUUUUGUUGACAAACAAGACACUAGGAGACAAAGCUACGAACAUCUUCAAGGAUGCGGGGCCAAUCAAAGUUUUGCUGCAGGCGGCGGAAAUUCUUAGUGACACCUAUGUGUCCUCUAAUUGGGGAAGAGUGAAACUCCUGCAAUAGUAAGCUGGUGAAAUGUAUUGCGAACGACAAUCAUAUCCUUCCAUUUUGAAAGAGAAGCUCGCGAUAGACCUUGAGGUCAGGAUGUUUGGUAGGAUUUUGAUGGACCUUGUCCAACAGUGUUGUGUAUUGGGUGUCUUUUAGAAGAGUAUCCCAGAGUUGAUCCAAGAAGACAAACAUAGGCACUGAUACGGAGUAAAACUAUGCUUCGUCCGGUGCCGUAAUUCGGGAUAAUGCAUCGUCCACAAUGUUCUAAGAUCCUAACUUGUACUAGAUAACAUAAUCAUACCCCAGUAAUUUGAACAAAUAGAUUUCCUGCUCAGGACUUUGAAUAGCUUGGGACAUAAGCUCUUUGAGGCUUCAGUGUUCCGUCAAAAUGGUAAAUGAAUGGCCUAGUAGGUAGUGCCGCCAUUUUUGAACUGCAGCGGUAAUGAUGUGAUAUUCUUGGACAUAAGCCGAUGUAAGAUGCAAAAAUGGGCAAAACAUUUUUCUAUAAUAAGCAAUUAGGUGAGAGUUAUGUUGAAGGACCGUGUCUAUAGCUCGUGAUGAGGCGUCUAUCUUUAUAGUAAAAGAGGCAGAAAAGUCUGGUGAAACCAGAACCGGGGCCUUCAUGAUCUUCUGUUUCAACUGUUCGAAGGUUGUUUAGGCUUUUUCAGACCAUUGGAACUUGUCCUUACAAAGCAACGAAGUAAGUGGAGCAACGAGCGCGGCAUAACCCUUAAUAAAACGCUGGUAGAAGCCGGUUAAUCCCAAGAAUCCACGCAGGGUAGAAGGAGUGGACGGGGCUGGCUAGGUGAGCAUAGCCUGGAUUUUGUCGGGAUCCGGAGCCACCCCGUGAAUGUAGACUAUGUGGCCAAGAGAAUGUAACCUCUACUGAGCAAAGAGGAAUUUGGAUUGGCGCAAGAGAAAUUGUGCAUGUGAUAGUGUCUAUAGAACUUGCUUCAAGUGUUGGGCAUGCAACUACGAACAGGGGCUGUAUAUAAGGAUAUCAUUGGAAAAAAUGGCGACAAACAUUCAAAGAAAAGGACGAAGGGUGUCGUUCAUAGUGGCCGGGAAUGUUGAUGGUGCGUUGCAGAGACCAAAUGGCAUGACCUUGAAUUCAUAGUGGCCAUGGUGAAUUCUGAAGCCUGUCUUCUGGAUAUCGGAAUCCGCCAUUCGUAUCUGGUGAAAGCCCCAUUUGAGGUCUAACUUGGAAAAUCAAGAUGUGUGGCUGAAUUCAUCCAAUAAUUAGUCAAUUAUGGGCAUGGGAAAAUGAUCUUUGAUCGUUACGGCUUUGAAGGGUCUGUAAUCGACACAGUAGUGUCAGUUGUCGUCUUUCUGUUUGACAAGCAAUAUCGGAGAAGAAAAAUGACUAUGACUGGGUUGUAUCAGUCCAGCAUUGAGCAUCGAGGCAACUUGUUUUUUGAUUUUGGUUUUUUGGAAAUGUGGGUAUCGAUAGGGCUUGAUGUUGACUAGGUUGGUGUUAGGGGUGAGGUGGAUAUGGUGUUAGAUUGUGCAAGAGGGUGGUAGGUGGGUUGGUUCAUAGAAGAUUUCUGGACAUUGGAUGAUGAUGGAGGUUAUCUGGGGAGGUGUUGGUGUCUGGUGGGGGUGUGACGGGGAAGAGGACGUACUGUACCGGGAUAGUGAUGCGGUGAGGGCAAAAAGGGCAGAAAGGCUUUGUGUUUGAGUGCAUCGAUUUAAUUGUUGGGCUGAAAUGAAUGUUGUGUCCAAAGAACAUUCACGAUAAGUGUUGUUGGCGGACACGAAAGGAAAUGACAUCGCCAACGCCUUAUAGUUUUUGGUGGUGGGCCCUAAUUGUUUUAACCAUUGAACGCCCAAGACAAUGUCUGCAUCGCUAAUGGGUAAAUGGAAGAGGUCAGGGACAAAUGUGUGACCUUGGAUGUACGAGGUCACUUGCCAGGAAGUAGUGGUGCAAUCCAACAUGUAGUCAUCACCGACCAUAACGCGUAGGGUGUCUGAAAGAGACGCAGGAAAGUGAAGAAAGUGAGCAACGCGGGACUAGAUAAAAUUAUGAGUACUACCCCCAUCCAUAGCAUGCAGGCUGAUUUGAGGAACUGGGUCAGGGUCGGGGUCUGGAUCUGGAGGGUCGAAGUUGUCUGAGGGUAAGGAAGGGGCAUCGGGACUUGAUGCGAAGGGAUCAAUAUCCUCGUCGGCAAUUACAAGGUGCAAUCGAGGUUUACAACAAUGGCCAGGUAUUUAUUUGUCAUCAUAGUGAUAACAAAGGUCAUGGUCACGCCGAAGAGCCAUUUCCUCAAAGGUGAUACAUUUGAAGAGGAUUUUUGGGGCUAAAGUUGUGUUUGGUUUAAGAAAAGGAGAGUUGGGGUUUGCGGGUGCUUUGUAACGAGGCGAUGGUGGAGAGUAAUAGUUUCGAUGCUGGCCAAGGAGUUUGAUUUCCUGGAGCUUGGCCAGGGUCGCGGCUUGUGUCAACGAAGAGGGUUGAAGGGCUUACACCUCGCGACGUAAGCCCAGGGUCAAACCGGAGAUGAAACAACUUAAAAGAAAGGAUGGGGCAAGGCCAAAAAUUCUAUUGGCAAGGUGUUUGAACUUUGUAAGGUAAUCAUUGACGGAGCCUUGCUGUUGUAGUUUGAACAAGGUGCUUGAAGGAUCAUCGUAAUAUGCUGGGGCAAAGCGUGACUCAAGAGCUUCGAGCAUGCCUGUCCAAGAUGUGAGGAAACCAUUCCUCGACAUCCAUUGGUACCAGCACAACGUCGGGCCCUCCAUGUAAAAAGAGGGGACUGUAAGGCGUUCAUGGUCUGGGAUCCCUUGGUAGUCAAAGAACUGCGAAGCUUUGAAGAUCCAACCAAUGGGAUCAUGUCCAUCAAAACGUGGCACGUCCAGUUUCAUAUGGGGCCGCGGAGAGGAUGGUGAAGCUAGUAUUGAAGAGGAAGGAGGAGAAAGAGGAAUGGUGGUCAUAGCAUAUAAAUGGAAUUGAACUUAGCGUUCGUGGUGUCUUGGAUUUGUGCAAGGUUUUGUGUAAGAGUAGACUAGCCCUAGGUCAGGCAAGUGACCGCCUCUUCCAAUCGGUCAAUGACGGCCUGCUUGGUAUUAUGUUCUGAGGGCGACAUAGGGGUAGGUCGGACCAAUUGUUAGGGUCCUAUACUACGGGAAAGAAAACUACAAAGAUAGAUGGGGUAAAAUUCUGUUUUGCCUUCAUUAUCAUUCAUACUCCCUUAUUUAUACAAAGAUUGCUGCACCAAAAGUUAUAACAAACUUUGGCUCGUAGUGCUAACAGAUUCAUAACAACAUGUAUUUUCUUUUAUUAUAAUAACUAACUAAAUGGGAGGGAUAGUGGAAAUAGGUAGUAGACAUAACAGAAUAGAUUUUACUGCUUGCGUAAUAGCCUCAAACAAUGUCAUUGAAGCGUGUGGGUUUUCUUGUAUUCCUUCUGGGCUUGCUAUGGUCCAAAUCCUUGCUCCUCUUUUGCUCUUCUUGUUCCUGGAUUUCUGAAUUGCUAUCAGAUUUGGGGGAGUCAAAUAAAAUUUGUUGGGUCAAUUGGGAAUUUGGAUGCCUCCCAAAUUCAGAAGGGGACCUGGGAGCAAAGAACUUGUAGUGAUUCAAUAUAAGUUUGCUUGCAAAGUGGCAGUGGCGGUUUUUGACAUACUCAAAUGCAAUUUGCUGGUACCCUCUUCUCAGUUUCAGAUAUGAUCGCAUUAAUUAAUUCUGAAAUGUGUAGCCCUUCUUCUAUUUGACAAACGUCGAAUUAAUGGAAGGAUAUUAUUGCUAUUGACUUGAAUAGUAGCUAGUUCUCUGAUGGUGUAAUCCGGGAAAUUGGAGAUUGGGGCAGUUUUUGGAAGAAUAGAUGGGUGGGGAAUUUCAAUCUAAAAACAUUUUUUGCAACAUUAUAUCAAAUUGCAAAUAAUACAGACUGUUUGGUGGCUGAUAUGGUUGGCAAUGGGUUUGGGAUUAGAGGUGACGCCUUUGGAGCCUAGUCGGUCCAAGGAUAAAAAGAGCUAAAUCUUAUAUUUUAGGUUUAUCAACAAAAAAAUAUUAUUAAUUUUUAUAAAGGAAGAAAAAGUAACAUAUAAUUCUUUCUUUUAAAGUAAUUUUUUUCCCUUUAAAUUUACUUUAGACUCCUCUCUUGUUGGGUCAUGGGAGGAGGAUAUUGUUGUUCAACUGAGACAACUUCUAUCUUCAGUCAAGUUUAGUGGGAUAGGCUAGAUGAAACGUAUAAUUGGUAUUGAUAGCAGAAAAUAGUGUUUAUAACAACAAGGAACGAUGUUCACAACAAAAUCGAAAAUAGCUAUAGUGUUUCAGCAAAAGGAACGAGCGAAAUCAACAACACAGAGUCAGCGUUCUUUAACUAAACCAUCACAGGUUCAGAAUAGCACCUGAGAUUAAGGAGAGUAUAAAGGUUGGGAGAAGGUGCAGAGAAGAAGGAAUUAACAGAAGGAUCAGAGAAGCAAACAGGAAGAGUGUUCACCUUCAACAUAACCUAGAAUGAGUAUUUACGCAAUCUUAUAUUCUCCCUCCUAACACGUGCGUUUUUUUUUACCCCCACAUGCAGAUCAUCAGCCACGUGUCCUUCAUUUGUAACUGACUAACGCGCCAAUUUUCCUUCCUGCUUCCCGCAUGUUACACUAGACUCUGGAUCAUGGGAACAGAAUAAUACUAGUUUUUUCACGGUGUUAUCUGCUUAUUCAUUGAUUCGUGCCGGGCUGAAUGCUUUAUAAUCAGAUACAUCCAACACAGUUAUAUAUAUUCUCAUGAGGGAAGCAGAUGAAAAACUUCAUAAGUAUUAAUUAUUUGGCAAGCGACGUGCUGUAGGUUCAGAGAAACAAUGUUAUUUUCAAAAAUAAUAUUCCAGAUGUUCCUAUAGUGUCCUUUUUCACGCUCAGAGUUUGUUAUGGUCUUGGUUCAGGUAUAAGGGAGGGACCUUGCUCGAGUGGGAUUUUGCUGGCGAACUGGUCUUCCAAUCCGUUGGAGUGCCUAUUACAAUCUGGAUAAUUCUGGUUUUGAUUGUAUUUGCUCCUAUACAGAGAGCUUUUGCAUUUUUUUGCGUGCUUUAAUUGUAAUUUUCGUGCUGGUGUGGUCACACUUCAUGGCCAAUAACCUUUAAUAAAAUUCUUUUUGCUGUUAAAAAAAAUACCUUGUAAGAAGAUGAGAGUUGUUCCUCCUCUUAUAAACUUUCAAUUCAUUUGUUAUAUCAUUACUUGAUGUGAUAUGUAUAGCAAAAUGAGUGUUUUAUAUAUUAUAAAAAAACUCAUGGUUCAAAUAAAUUUUACCUUUUUAGAAUCAAUGCAAAAGGAAUUUGAAAACAAACAAUUUAUGGCAAAGAAUUCAUACCAUUACAUGUAUAAAUAAUAAAUUCUUAAUUGUGCACCAGUCAAGAAUUAUUCUGUAUGUAUAAUGCAUACUUAUUGCAUAAUUUAUGCAAUGAAUUAGUUCACAUUCCUGCAGUUAACCCGAAUUUCACCUUGAUUCCCGGUGAGGGGCUGAAUAUUUCCCAUCUUAAUCAUCGAGUUCGCAAAGUCCUCGUAGAAAUCUUCGGUAUCGUCGCUGUAUUCUUUGACCAGUUCAUCAGUAGAACCACCAUUGAAGAGUUCUUGAUCAGAGUGAAGAAGCCCUUUCUUUUGAACCAAAUUAGAGUAAUAGUUUAUGUCAAAUUUUGCCGCUGUUGAGUCCAAAGGAGAAAGGUUGGAAUCACCACCGUUUGUAGGGCAAAUGUAUCUAAGUUGUUGUGCAAAGUUGGGAUCGAUGUUGGAGUCAUUGUAGAUAUGGUCCUUAAAUGUAACACAACGUGCAAAUCCAAUGCUGUGGCCUCCAGAAAGAACAACAAG
This 11681-nucleotide long non-coding RNA is filed under the name Glycine max (soybean). RNAcentral describes it as "long non-coding RNA (GMAX_LNC000511)". The record is from RNAcentral. Lineage: Eukaryota; Viridiplantae; Streptophyta; Magnoliopsida; Fabales; Fabaceae.